CCUCCACCACCUCCACCACCACCACCACUGCCCCUAUUCCUAAGCUGACACGUCACGAGAUAAUAACCAUAGCGGCGUCAGCAGCAGCAGGAGUGGUGGUGGUCCUGGUGGUGGUGGUGGUGGUGGUGGUGUUACGUUGGAAAAGGAAAGUUGUCAUAUCACCCGCACUCUCCCUGCCCCCCUAUGAGCACGUCAUAGAAAACGACAUCUACGAGUCAUUUGACGGUGACGCUAACGACGCAGCGCCGCAAACCUUCCAGAACGAUCUGUACGAGUCCUUCAGCGGCCACGAGCGCCGGCGCGACACCUAGGAGAGAGAGAGAGAGAGAGAGAGAGAGAGAGAGAGAGAGAGAGAGAGAGAGAGAGAGAGAGAGAGAGAGAGAGAGAGAGAGAGAGAGAGUUUCCUUUGAGUCUAUUGGUCAGUUUCACAUUGAGCAAAGAACACACAACCAAACUUGACACAGAUAUGCCGAGGAUUGUCAAUUGUGGCCUAUAAUAUGAUUACACACACACACACACACACACACACACACAGAUGUACAAGAUCAAGACGAACAAACAACUCAGUGUACCCUAAAAUAUCAGAAAAAGAAAACUGUCCUUUCUCAAGCGCAAACAA
Molecule: long non-coding RNA, 619 nt
Organism: Scylla paramamosain (green mud crab)
Lineage: Eukaryota; Metazoa; Arthropoda; Malacostraca; Decapoda; Portunidae
Exons: 2
Source: RefSeq, a predicted model, not a curated record